RNAcentral lists this ribosomal RNA (229 nucleotides) under uncultured bacterium. Its description in RNAcentral is "partial 16S ribosomal RNA". It matches the Rfam family "Bacterial small subunit ribosomal RNA", at positions 111 to 334 of the family's 1533-position model. The record is from RNAcentral.
UAACGCGUAGGUAACCUGCCUGGUAGCGGGGGAUAACUAUUGGAAACGAUAGCUAAUACCGCAUAAGAGUAGAUGUUGCAUGACAUUUACUUUAAAAGGUGCAAUUGCAUCACUACCAGAUGGACCUGCGUUGUAUUAGCUAGUUGGUGGGGUAACGGCUUACCAAGGCGACGAUACAUAGCCGACCUGAGAGGGUGAUCGGCCACACUGGGACUGAGACACGGCCCAG